GGAGGGAUCAUUACAGAGAUCGUGCCCUCGCGGGUAGAUGCUCCGUGAUAGUGCUCGUAUAUUGUUGCUUUGGCAGGUCGCCUUCGGGCUCCCGGCUUCGGCUGGGGCGUGCCUGCCAAUGCGCGUGAUAGUCGCUCGUGAUUUGUCGUCUGAGGCCUGUAGAUGCUCGUAAAACUUUCAACAACGGAUCUCUUGGUUCUGGCAUCGAUGAAGAACGCAGCGAAAUGCGAUAAGUAAUGUGAAUUAUGCGUCCGUGAUAGCUGCCGAAUCUUUGAACGCACAUUGCGCCCCUUGGUAUGCCGGGGGGCAUGCCUGUUCGAGCGUCAUUUCAACCCUCCAGCCUCGCUGGGUCUUGGGCUCUGCCGGCAACGGCUUGCCUUAAAAUCAGUGGAGGCUCGUGAUAGUGCUGCGCGUAGUAAUCAAACCCUCGCGUCUGAGUCUCGGCGGUCGCUGGCCAGCAACCCCCAUUUCUAUGGUUGACCUCGGAUCAGGUAGGGAUACCCGAGUGGCUCGUAGAUGUCCAUAAGCGGAGGAAAAGAAAGAUGCUCGUGUUACCUCAGUAACGGCGAGUGAAGCGGUAGUCGCUCGUAGAUG
Molecule: ribosomal RNA, 594 nt
Filed under: uncultured fungus
Lineage: Eukaryota; Fungi
Description: eukaryotic LSU rRNA
Rfam family: 5.8S ribosomal RNA (bases 173-326)
Source: RNAcentral